RNAcentral lists this unclassified non-coding RNA (788 nucleotides) under Bombus terrestris (buff-tailed bumblebee). Its description in RNAcentral is "misc RNA ENSBTSG00005029861.1". The record is from RNAcentral. Lineage: Eukaryota; Metazoa; Arthropoda; Insecta; Hymenoptera; Apidae.
CUAGCCGCCAUCUCUUGGUCGCUAUGCUACUUCUACGUGCUUGCUUGUUCCUUUUAUUUCUUUUGCAGUCAUAUAUCUUCGCUCAUAACCAUAAAGAUGGUACGGCGACGCUUCAAGGCAUAUAUCAACAAAACACGUGCGAAUUAGAUGGACCAUAGAAUGUGCUUGUUAAGAUACCAACGCAGUUAAAAGACAUACACACAGGUUUCGUCAUUUCGUAAUACUGUUAUUACACAAUCAGUAUCGGAUUCUAAAAUUAAAUCAGCUCUCAUCCCAGAUUUGUCACGUGUAGAUUGUCGUAAUCCUGAUGGCAGUGUUAAGGAGAUUAAGGAGGUUACUUUAAAAGCGUGCACUACAGCAGCGACAACGACGACGAAGAACAAAGGAGAGCAUUGCUUAUGCAGGGGAAAGAAGGAAAAGGAGGGGACAUGCCAUAAGCUGCGUACCCGCGGCACGCCAUCUACAUCGGCUUUGUGUAUUUCAUGGUUGCGCAAUAGCGCGCGACUCGAGAAAGCCGAGCGCGCGACGCACGCUGGCAUUUUUGCUUUUGUACGUCGGUCAUAGGGUUGCGCACAACACUUCGUCCAACAAUUGAUUGCGCUUCAAAGGGAGGCGAAACUCGAAUCGGACGGCGAAAAGGAAGAAGGGGAAAAGUGAAGUCGUAAAAGAGGGUACGCAACACCCAUCCCGCGACAAACCGUACCGAACAAGGGCACAGAAGGCAAGAGAGACGGAUUACCAACAUUACAGUCAGACGGAGAACAAAGGGGGAAGGGUGUAAAGAGAGA